GAUGAACGCUGGCGGCGUGCCUAAUACAUGCAAGUCGAGCGAACGGACGAGAAGCUUGCUUCUCUGAUGUUAGCGGCGGACGGGUGAGUAACACGUGGAUAACCUACCUAUAAGACUGGGAUAACUUCGGGAAACCGGAGCUAAUACCGGAUGAUAUUUUGAACCGCAUGGUUCAAAAGUGAAAGACGGUCUUGCUGUCACUUAUAGAUGGAUCCGCGCUGCAUUAGCUAGUUGGUAAGGUAACGGCUUACCAAGGCAACGAUGCAUAGCCGACCUGAGAGGGUGAUCGGCCACACUGGAACUGAGACACGGUCCAGACUCCUACGGGAGGCAGCAGUAGGGAAUCUUCCGCAAUGGGCGAAAGCCUGACGGAGCAACGCCGCGUGAGUGAUGAAGGUCUUCGGAUCGUAAAACUCUGUUAUUAGGGAAGAACAUAUGUGUAAGUAACUGUGCACAUCUUGACGGUACCUAAUCAGAAAGCCACGGCUAACUACGUGCCAGCAGCCGCGGUAAUACGUAGGUGGCAAGCGUUAUCCGGAAUUAUUGGGCGUAAAGCGCGCGUAGGCGGUUUUUUAAGUCUGAUGUGAAAGCCCACGGCUCAACUGUGGAGGGUCAUUGGAAACUGGAAAACUUGAGUGCAGAAGAGGAAAGUGGAAUUCCAUGUGUAGCGGUGAAAUGCGCAGAGAUAUGGAGGAACACCAGUGGCGAAGGCGACUUUCUGGUCUGUAACUGACGCUGAUGUGCGAAAGCGUGGGGAUCAAACAGGAUUAGAUACCCUGGUAGUCCACGCCGUAAACGAUGAGUGCUAAGUGUUAGGGGGUUUCCGCCCCUUAGUGCUGCAGCUAACGCAUUAAGCACUCCGCCUGGGGAGUACGACCGCAAGGUUGAAACUCAAAGGAAUUGACGGGGACCCGCACAAGCGGUGGAGCAUGUGGUUUAAUUCGAAGCAACGCGAAGAACCUUACCAAAUCUUGACAUCCUUUGACAACUCUAGAGAUAGAGCCUUCCCCUUCGGGGGACAAAGUGACAGGUGGUGCAUGGUUGUCGUCAGCUCGUGUCGUGAGAUGUUGGGUUAAGUCCCGCAACGAGCGCAACCCUUAAGCUUAGUUGCCAUCAUUAAGUUGGGCACUCUAAGUUGACUGCCGGUGACAAACCGGAGGAAGGUGGGGAUGACGUCAAAUCAUCAUGCCCCUUAUGAUUUGGGCUACACACGUGCUACAAUGGACAAUACAAAGGGCAGCGAAACCGCGAGGUCAAGCAAAUCCCAUAAAGUUGUUCUCAGUUCGGAUUGUAGUCUGCAACUCGACUACAUGAAGCUGGAAUCGCUAGUAAUCGUAGAUCAGCAUGCUACGGUGAAUACGUUCCCGGGUCU
RNAcentral lists this ribosomal RNA (1372 nucleotides) under uncultured bacterium. RNAcentral describes it as "bacterial SSU rRNA". It matches the Rfam family "Bacterial small subunit ribosomal RNA", at positions 28 to 1381 of the family's 1533-position model. The record is from RNAcentral.